RNAcentral lists this non-coding RNA (27 nucleotides) under Rattus norvegicus (Norway rat). Lineage: Eukaryota; Metazoa; Chordata; Mammalia; Rodentia; Muridae. The record is from RNAcentral.
UAGUGCAUCCUCAAAGCUCAUAGCUAC